CGGUAAUACGGAGGGUGCAAGCGUUGUUCGGAAUUAUUGGGCGUAAAGCGCGUGUAGGCGGUCACGCAAGUCAGAUGUGAAAGCCUUCCGCUUAACGGAAGAAGUGCAUUUGAAACUGCGUGACUAGAGUACGGGAGAGGAGAGUGGAAUUCCCGGUGUAGAGGUGAAAUUCGUAGAUAUCGGGAGGAACACCAGUGGCGAAGGCGGCUCUCUGGCCUAAUACUGACGCUGAGACGCGAAAGCGUGGGGAGCAAACAGGAUUAGAUACCCUGGUAGUCCACGCUGUAAACGAUGGGCACUAGGUGUAGGAGGUAUUGACCCCUUCUGUGCCGAAGCUAACGCAUUAAGUGCCCCGCCUGGGGAGUACGGCCGCAAGGUUAAA
RNAcentral lists this ribosomal RNA (382 nucleotides) under uncultured bacterium. RNAcentral's name for it is "bacterial SSU rRNA". It matches the Rfam family "Bacterial small subunit ribosomal RNA", at positions 518 to 898 of the family's 1533-position model. The record is from RNAcentral.